Molecule: ribosomal RNA, 497 nt
Filed under: uncultured bacterium
Lineage: Bacteria
Description: partial 16S ribosomal RNA
Rfam family: Bacterial small subunit ribosomal RNA
Source: RNAcentral
GAUGAACGCUGGCGGCGUGCCUAAUACAUGCAAGUCGAGCGAACGGACGAGAAGCUUGCUUCUCUGAUGUUCGCGGCGGACGGGUGAGUAACACGUGGAUAACCUACCUAUAAGACUGGGAUAACUUCGGGAAACCGGAGCUAAUACCGGAUGAUAUUUUGAACCGCAUGGUUCAAAAGUGAAAGACGGUCUUGCUGUCACUUAUAGAUGGAUCCGCGCUGCAUUAGCUAGUUGGUAAGGUAACGGCUUACCAAGGCAACGAUGCAUAGCCGACCUGAGAGGGUGAUCGGACACACUGGAACUGAGACACGGUCCAGACUCCAACGGGAGGCAGCAGUAGGGAAUCUUCCGCAAUGGGCGAAAGCCUGACGGAGCAACGCCGCGUGAGUGAUGAAGGUCUUCGGAUCGUAAAACUCUGUUAUUAGGGAAGAACAUAUGUGUAAGUAACUGUGCACAUCUUGACGGUACCGAAUCAGAAAGCCACGGCUAACUACGUG